RNAcentral lists this unclassified non-coding RNA (251 nucleotides) under uncultured fungus. RNAcentral describes it as "partial contains 5.8S ribosomal RNA, internal transcribed spacer 2, and large subunit ribosomal RNA". The stretch from base 1 to 52 matches the Rfam family "5.8S ribosomal RNA", at positions 103 to 154 of the family's 154-position model. The record is from RNAcentral. Lineage: Eukaryota; Fungi.
AACGCACAUUGCGCCCUCUGGUAUUCCGGAGGGCAUGCCUGUUCGAGCGUCAUUUCAACCCUCAAGCCUGGCUUGGUGUUGGGGCACCGCCUGUAAAAGGGCGGGCCCUGAAAUCUAGUGGCGAGCUCGCCAGGACCCCGAGCGUAGUAGUUUAUAUCUCGUUCUGGAAGGCCCUGGCGGUGCCCUGCCGUUAAACCCCCAACUUCUGAAAUUUUGACCUCGGAUCAGGUAGGAAUACCCGCUGAACUUAA